This 353-nucleotide transfer-messenger RNA is filed under the name Spirochaetaceae bacterium. It matches the Rfam family "transfer-messenger RNA". From Rfam's summary of the family: Bacterial tmRNA, also known as 10Sa RNA or SsrA, is named for its dual tRNA and mRNA-like properties. Its role is to liberate the mRNA from a stalled ribosome. The record is from RNAcentral. Lineage: Bacteria; Pseudomonadati; Spirochaetota; Spirochaetia; Spirochaetales; Spirochaetaceae. RNAcentral also lists the same sequence under 1 other name.
GGGGAUGCACCGGUUUCGACGGGUGAGGUUGUAGGCUUGAGUUGCAGGUGAGGUUGCCUGUCCUCUAAACAGACAAAAACUAUAACUGCCGACAAUAAUCGUCAGUUUGCUCUUGCUGCGUAAGCAGUGAGCACGGGAAUCGAUUUGCGCUGCUCUGAGUGAAUCGAAUUCCUGUCACCUACCAGAGCUUGCUGUGAACGGUGUCCGGUACGUUCACGGGACUUUUAUCGGAAUACGAGGUCGACGCUUGCGGUGCUGCUACCGACCUUCGACAACUAUCUCGCAUCGCUAAACCUGUAGACGCUCCUGUCUCCCACAUUCGGACGGGGGUUCAAUUCCCCCCAUCUCCACUC